UACGGGGGGGGCAAGCGUUGUUCGGAAUUACUGGGCGUAAAGGGCUCGUAGGCGGCCAACUAAGUCAGACGUGAAAUCCCUCGGCUUAACCGGGGAACUGCGUCUGAUACUGGAUGGCUUGAGUUUGGGAGAGGGAUGCGGAAUUCCAGGUGUAGCGGUGGAAUGCGUAGAUAUCUGGAGGAAUACCGGUGGCGAAGGCGGCAUCCUGGACCGGCAUUGACGCUGAUGAGCGAAAGCUAGGGGAGCAAACGGG
RNAcentral lists this ribosomal RNA (253 nucleotides) under uncultured bacterium. Its description in RNAcentral is "partial 16S ribosomal RNA". It matches the Rfam family "Bacterial small subunit ribosomal RNA", at positions 524 to 776 of the family's 1533-position model. The record is from RNAcentral.